UACGUAGGGGGCAAGCGUUGUCCGGAAUCAUUGGGCGUAAAGCGCGUGUAGGCGGCUCGAUAAGUCUGCUGUGAAAGUCCAGGGCUCAACCCUGGAAUGCCGGUGGAAACUGUCGAGCUAGAGUCCGGAAGAGGCGAGUGGAACUCCUGGUGUAGCGGUGAAAUGCGCAGAUAUCAGGAGGAACACCAAUGGCGAAGGCAGCUCGCUGGGACGGUACUGACGCUGAGACGCGAAAGCGUGGGGAGCAAACAGG
This 253-nucleotide ribosomal RNA is filed under the name uncultured bacterium. Its description in RNAcentral is "partial 16S ribosomal RNA". It matches the Rfam family "Bacterial small subunit ribosomal RNA", at positions 524 to 776 of the family's 1533-position model. The record is from RNAcentral.